CUCACCAAGGCUAUGACGGAUAUUUGGUUUGAGAGGAUGAUCAGACACACUGGAACUGAGACACGGUCCAGACUCCUACGGGAGGCAGCAGUGAGGAAUAUUGCACAAUGGAGGAAACUCUGAUGCAGCAACGCCGCGUGGAGGAUGACGCAUUUCGGUGUGUAAACUCCUUUUAUUAGGGAAGAUAAUGACGGUACCUAAUGAAUAAGCACCGGCUAACUCCGUGCCAGCAGCCGCGGUAAUACGGAGGGUGCAAGCGUUACUCGGAAUCACUGGGCGUAAAGGGUGCGUAGGCUGGCUUUUAAGUCAGAUGUGAAAUCCAAUGGCUCAACCAUUGAACUGCAUUUGAAACUGAAAGCCUAGAGUUCAGAAGGGGCAGAUGGAAUUAGUGGUGUAGGGGUAAAAUCCGUAGAUAUCACUAGGAAUAUCAAAAGCGAAGGCGAUCUGCUGGGAUGAUACUGACGCUG
RNAcentral lists this ribosomal RNA (467 nucleotides) under uncultured bacterium. RNAcentral describes it as "bacterial SSU rRNA". It matches the Rfam family "Bacterial small subunit ribosomal RNA", at positions 264 to 748 of the family's 1533-position model. The record is from RNAcentral.